AAGUCGUAACAAGGUUUCCGUAGGUGAACCUGCGGAAGGAUCAUUACCGAGCAAGGGUCUCUCAGGCCCGACCUCCCACCCCAUGUGUACCUGCCUGUGUUGCUUCGGCGGGCCCGCGGGGGCCACCCGCCGCCGGCCUCGGCCGACGAGCGCCCGCCGGAGACCAUCCAAACCCUGCUUAUCGGUGUCGUCUGAGGAGCAGAAACGCAAUAGUUAAAACUUUCAACAACGGAUCUCUUGGUUCUG
This 246-nucleotide unclassified non-coding RNA is filed under the name air metagenome. Its description in RNAcentral is "partial contains small subunit ribosomal RNA, internal transcribed spacer 1, and 5.8S ribosomal RNA". The stretch from base 1 to 46 matches the Rfam family "Eukaryotic small subunit ribosomal RNA", at positions 1786 to 1831 of the family's 1831-position model. The record is from RNAcentral.